RNAcentral lists this ribosomal RNA (2892 nucleotides) under Pseudomonas simiae. RNAcentral describes it as "23S ribosomal RNA". It matches the Rfam family "Bacterial large subunit ribosomal RNA". The record is from RNAcentral. Lineage: Bacteria; Pseudomonadati; Pseudomonadota; Gammaproteobacteria; Pseudomonadales; Pseudomonadaceae.
GGUCAAGUGAAGAAGCGCAUACGGUGGAUGCCUUGGCAGUCAGAGGCGAUGAAAGACGUGGUAGCCUGCGAAAAGCUUCGGGGAGUCGGCAAACAGACUUUGAUCCGGAGAUGUCUGAAUGGGGGAACCCAGCCAUCAUAAGAUGGUUAUCUUGUACUGAAUACAUAGGUGCAAGAGGCGAACCAGGGGAACUGAAACAUCUAAGUACCCUGAGGAAAAGAAAUCAACCGAGAUUCCCUUAGUAGUGGCGAGCGAACGGGGACUAGCCCUUAAGUGGCUUUGAGAUUAGCGGAACGCUCUGGAAAGUGCGGCCAUAGUGGGUGAUAGCCCUGUACGCGAAAGUCUCUUAGUCAUGAAAUCGAGUAGGACGGAGCACGAGAAACUUUGUCUGAAUAUGGGGGGACCAUCCUCCAAGGCUAAAUACUACUGACUGACCGAUAGUGAACUAGUACCGUGAGGGAAAGGCGAAAAGAACCCCGGAGAGGGGAGUGAAAUAGAUCCUGAAACCGUAUGCGUACAAGCAGUGGGAGCCUACUUUGUUAGGUGACUGCGUACCUUUUGUAUAAUGGGUCAGCGACUUAUUUUCAGUGGCGAGCUUAACCGAAUAGGGGAGGCGUAGCGAAAGCGAGUCUUAAUAGGGCGUCUAGUCGCUGGGAAUAGACCCGAAACCGGGCGAUCUAUCCAUGGGCAGGUUGAAGGUUGGGUAACACUAACUGGAGGACCGAACCGACUACCGUUGAAAAGUUAGCGGAUGACCUGUGGAUCGGAGUGAAAGGCUAAUCAAGCUCGGAGAUAGCUGGUUCUCCUCGAAAGCUAUUUAGGUAGCGCCUCAUGUAUCACUGUAGGGGGUAGAGCACUGUUUCGGCUAGGGGGUCAUCCCGACUUACCAAACCGAUGCAAACUCCGAAUACCUACAAGUGCCGAGCAUGGGAGACACACGGCGGGUGCUAACGUCCGUCGUGAAAAGGGAAACAACCCAGACCGUCAGCUAAGGUCCCAAAGUUAUGGUUAAGUGGGAAACGAUGUGGGAAGGCUUAGACAGCUAGGAGGUUGGCUUAGAAGCAGCCACCCUUUAAAGAAAGCGUAAUAGCUCACUAGUCGAGUCGGCCUGCGCGGAAGAUGUAACGGGGCUCAAACCAUACACCGAAGCUACGGGUAUCACGUAAGUGAUGCGGUAGAGGAGCGUUCUGUAAGCCUGUGAAGGUGAGUUGAGAAGCUUGCUGGAGGUAUCAGAAGUGCGAAUGCUGACAUGAGUAACGACAAUGGGUGUGAAAAACACCCACGCCGAAAGACCAAGGUUUCCUGCGCAACGUUAAUCGACGCAGGGUUAGUCGGUCCCUAAGGCGAGGCUGAAAAGCGUAGUCGAUGGAAAACAGGUUAAUAUUCCUGUACUUCUGGUUAUUGCGAUGGAGGGACGGAGAAGGCUAGGCCAGCUUGGCGUUGGUUGUCCAAGUUUAAGGUGGUAGGCUGAGAUCUUAGGUAAAUCCGGGAUCUUAAGGCCGAGAGCUGAUGACGAGCUAACUUUUAGUUAGCGAAGUGGUUGAUGCCAUGCUUCCAAGAAAAGCUUCUAAGCUUCAGGUAACCAGGAACCGUACCCCAAACCGACACAGGUGGUUGGGUAGAGAAUACCAAGGCGCUUGAGAGAACUCGGGUGAAGGAACUAGGCAAAAUGGCACCGUAACUUCGGGAGAAGGUGCGCCGGUGAGGGUGAAGGACUUGCUCCGUAAGCUCAUGCCGGUCGAAGAUACCAGGCCGCUGCGACUGUUUAUUAAAAACACAGCACUCUGCAAACACGAAAGUGGACGUAUAGGGUGUGACGCCUGCCCGGUGCCGGAAGGUUAAUUGAUGGGGUUAGCUAACGCGAAGCUCUUGAUCGAAGCCCCGGUAAACGGCGGCCGUAACUAUAACGGUCCUAAGGUAGCGAAAUUCCUUGUCGGGUAAGUUCCGACCUGCACGAAUGGCGUAACGAUGGCGGCGCUGUCUCCACCCGAGACUCAGUGAAAUUGAAAUCGCUGUGAAGAUGCAGUGUAUCCGCGGCUAGACGGAAAGACCCCGUGAACCUUUACUAUAGCUUUGCACUGGACUUUGAAUUUGCUUGUGUAGGAUAGGUGGGAGGCUUUGAAGCGUGGACGCCAGUUCGCGUGGAGCCAUCCUUGAAAUACCACCCUGGCAACUUUGAGGUUCUAACUCAGGUCCGUUAUCCGGAUCGAGGACAGUGUAUGGUGGGUAGUUUGACUGGGGCGGUCUCCUCCUAAAGAGUAACGGAGGAGUACGAAGGUGCGCUCAGACCGGUCGGAAAUCGGUCGUAGAGUAUAAAGGCAAAAGCGCGCUUGACUGCGAGACAGACACGUCGAGCAGGUACGAAAGUAGGUCUUAGUGAUCCGGUGGUUCUGUAUGGAAGGGCCAUCGCUCAACGGAUAAAAGGUACUCCGGGGAUAACAGGCUGAUACCGCCCAAGAGUUCAUAUCGACGGCGGUGUUUGGCACCUCGAUGUCGGCUCAUCACAUCCUGGGGCUGAAGCCGGUCCCAAGGGUAUGGCUGUUCGCCAUUUAAAGUGGUACGCGAGCUGGGUUUAGAACGUCGUGAGACAGUUCGGUCCCUAUCUGCCGUGGACGUUUGAGAUUUGAGAGGGGCUGCUCCUAGUACGAGAGGACCGGAGUGGACGAACCUCUGGUGUUCCGGUUGUCACGCCAGUGGCAUUGCCGGGUAGCUAUGUUCGGAAUAGAUAACCGCUGAAAGCAUCUAAGCGGGAAACUAGCCUCAAGAUGAGAUCUCACUGGAACCUUGAGUUCCCUGAAGGGCCGUCGAAGACUACGACGUUGAUAGGUUGGGUGUGUAAGCGCUGUGAGGCGUUGAGCUAACCAAUACUAAUUGCCCGUGAGGCUUGACCAU